RNAcentral lists this long non-coding RNA (218 nucleotides) under Elaeis guineensis (African oil palm). Its description in RNAcentral is "long non-coding RNA (EGUI_LNC035622)". Lineage: Eukaryota; Viridiplantae; Streptophyta; Magnoliopsida; Arecales; Arecaceae. The record is from RNAcentral.
GGUGAGCAUUUUUAGGUCCUGGCGUUGGGGUUAUUGGGAGAGAGGAAUCCAAAGUAGAGAAAUGUGUUUCUCUGUCCUUCUUCCACUGCCUACAUCCUUCUUCGAUCCAUCUUCGACAUCAAAAGGGUCCAAAUUGUUCAAAGAAAGAGAUCAAAUCAGAUCCGCCAUCAGAUAGUCUUCUCAUGACCUAGCACUCUCGAGAAGGCUAAUCAUGAUGA